This is a long non-coding RNA of Dreissena polymorpha, 1654 nucleotides long. RefSeq lists it as uncharacterized. The transcript is spliced from 2 exons. Lineage: Eukaryota; Metazoa; Mollusca; Bivalvia; Myida; Dreissenidae. The record is from RefSeq and is a predicted model, not a curated record.
UUUUUAUGUCCCCCACUAUAGUAGUGGGGGACAUAUUGUUUUUGCCCUGUCUGUUGGUCUGUUGGUUGGUCUGUUGGUUUGCGCCAACUUAAACAUUUUGCAAUAACAUUUGCUAUAUUGAAUAUAGCAACUUGAUAUAUGGCAUGCAUGUGUAUCUCAUGGAGCUGCACUUUUUGAGUUGUGAAAGGUCGAGGUCAAGGUCAUCCUUCAAGGUCAGAGGUCAAAUAUAUGUGGCCAAAAUCGCUCAUUUUAUGAAUGCUUUUGCAAUAUUGAAGAUAGCAAAUUGAUAUUUGGCAUGCAUGUGUAUCUCAUGGAGCUGCACAUUUUGAGUGGUUAAAGGUCAAGAUCAAGGUCAUCCUUCAAGGUCAGAGGUCAAAUAUAUGUGGCCCAAAUCGCUUAUUUAAUGAAUACUUUUGAAAUAUUGAAGAUAGCAACUUGAUAUUUGGCAUGCAUGUGUAUCUCAUGGAGCUGCACAAUUUGAGUGGUGAAAGGUCAAGGUCAUCCUUCAAGGUCAGAGGUCAAAUAUAUGUGGCCAAAAUCGCGUAUUUUAUAAAUACUUUUGCAAUAUUGAAGAUAGCAACUUGAUAUUUGGCAUGCAUGUGUAUCUCAUGGAGCUGCACAUUUUGAGUGGUGAAAGCUCAAGGUCAAGGUCAUCCUUCAAGGUCAAAUAUAUGGGUCAAAAUUGCUCAUGUAAUGUCACUUCUGCAAUAUUGAAGCUAGCAAUUUUAUAUUUGAAAUGCAUGUGUAUCUCAUGGAGCUGCACAUUUUGAGUGGUGAAGGGUCAAGGUCAAGGUCAUCCUUCAAGGUCAAACGUCAUAUAGGGGGACAUUGUGUUUCACAAACGCAUCUUGUUAAAUCUUGUUUGUGUUUCAGAUAUGGCGCUAUGAAAAAAAGGUUUCUUGUUAGAUCAAACAUCUGUUUCUGCUCAAGAAAUCAUGAAGACUUGUUUAAAUUGCUCUCAAAAUGGAAAUGUUAGCAUGGUGGUCACUUUCAAAAGUUGCAGUAUGACUAAUUUAGUGUUGCCUAUAAUGCCUCACUGCAUGAGUGGCCAAAAAGAAAUUGUAGUACUGUUUAUGAUUGGUUGUUUAUUAGUUUCAUUCCCAUAGACUCCUAGAUCUUAUACAGAACAUAUGUGUGAUGAUGAUAUGUAGAGAUUGUAAUAAAAAAACGUAUCUGAAAGCACUGCUGAAUUAAAGACAAAAUAUAAGGAACGUGUAUAUUCUAGAUCAUAUUACUAUCUUGUAAGAAUACCAGGGUGCAGGAUCAACAGGGUUCUCGGGGUUUACACAUGGGCUGGACAGAAGGAAAACACACUGUCAAUUAAGUGCAUUACAGACAGUUUUUAUAUGUUAUUUGGAAAAAAAGCUCCACUUACUGGUGUGUUUUCAUCCAUUAACAUCCAUUUGUGAACCCCAUAUAGUCAUGUGAUCCUGCACCCUGAAAUACUCUCCAGCCCCAUGGAUCAUCAUUAUUAUAUUGCGAGAUUAUGCUAUAAUUGUUUUAGAAUGGUGUUUUAAUCACUAUUCAUUGUCAAUUCAAAAUAAUACUUGUUAAACACUGUAAUAAGCUGCUGAUAUCAUGUCACAUACACAUAUUUUUGUAAUAUGGUGAUGUUGACUAAGCAUUAUUUCCUCAGAUUGAUGUUAUCUUACUA